Molecule: non-coding RNA, 140 nt
Organism: Podospora appendiculata
Lineage: Eukaryota; Fungi; Ascomycota; Sordariomycetes; Sordariales; Podosporaceae
Source: the annotation of a GenBank genome assembly
GGGAAGGUGGCCGAGCGGUCUAAGGCGCCACGUUAAGGAGAUAUCCUUGAUUACUUCAAAACUCCUCAUCAUCCCGAUGAUGAGGAAAAUCAUGAUCCGUGGUCUCGUAAGAGGCGUGGGUUCAAAUCCCACCCUUCUCA